Molecule: ribosomal RNA, 301 nt
Filed under: uncultured bacterium
Lineage: Bacteria
Description: partial 16S ribosomal RNA
Rfam family: Bacterial small subunit ribosomal RNA
Source: RNAcentral
CAGUCGCCACGGGAAUACGAAGGGUGCAAGCGUUACUCGGAAUUACUGGGCGUAAAGCGUGCGUAGGUGGUGGUUUAAGUCCGUUGUGAAAGCCCUGGGCUCAACCUGGGAAUUGCAGUGGAUACUGGGUCACUAGAGUGUGGUAGAGGAUAGUGGAAUUUCCGGUGUAGCAGUGAAAUGCGUAGAGAUCUGGAGGAAUACCGAUGGCGAAGGCAGCCAUCUGGCCUAAUACUGACGCUGAGGUACGAAAGCAUGGGGAGCAAACAGGAUUAGAUACCCCGGUAGUCCCUGUCUCUUAUAC